Molecule: long non-coding RNA, 1485 nt
Filed under: Bemisia tabaci
Lineage: Eukaryota; Metazoa; Arthropoda; Insecta; Hemiptera; Aleyrodidae
Description: lncRNA ENSSSA3NGG008332
Source: RNAcentral
AUCGGGGCGAUUAUUGAAAUGAUAUCGACUGUAUGUCGCCGCUUACGACAGGACAUAGCCCUAUCUUAACUGUGUAAUAUAUCGCAAUUCGAUAUUGUUUUGAUUUUUAAAAGGAGCAAUUCAUUCAUACAGUUUCGAUUAGUUUUGGCUAACGGGACCUUAACCUACGGCACUCGGCUCAUGGGAAUUUUUUAACUUGUCCUGGACGGACUCGUCUGUAGCGCCUCGUUCUUCGUUGUGUGUGUGAUUUCGUGAAGAAGUUUCUAUGGCAAUUUGCUUUUAUUUGUGAGCUGUUUUUUCACGGGAUUUUUGAAUGUUCUGUACGAAUAAAUUCGGUGAGUACCUCAUUUAUCCCUCCCUCCAGUAAAAUUAUUUCAACUUUUCCUUCUCUCUCAUUCUGGACCCACUCAUGGGCUGAUUAUUUUCUCAUUCUUGAAACUUUAGACUGGCAAUUUCUAUGCACAAUCUAUAGCUCAUUAACCUAUAGUUCAAGAGUUCCUCACUAGUGUCUUGCUCUUCUUUUUUAUUUUUAAAGCCUCAAUGUAUUUAUAGAAUUUCAAAAAUUUAGUUUUUGAGUUGACUUAAAAAAUGUAGAAAAUAUAAUGCUGUUUUAAUUUUCAUUUCAGGUAAUGAGUCGACGCAGUCAAAGAAUAAUUCAUAGGGUGAACGUUGCAAAUGAUAUAUCGAACAAUGAUUCUGAUAUUACGCAUCCAGUAAAUGAAGCAGAAAAUUCAUUCAUCGAAAAUCUUGAAACACAUCAGUCGAACUCAAAGCCUAAAAAGAAGAUAAAAUCAAAGUCACGUGACUUAUCGUAAGUACAAACCUGCAACUUUGUUUUUUAUAAAAUAGGAAUAAUUUUAAAUUAACUGUAAAGCUUGGAAUAAGUAUGCAAUUUUUCCCUGCCAGGAAAUGUGAUAGUUUCAAGAAUAUACAAUUUUUUUUCUCUUUUUUUUAUUUCAACAAUGGGCAACCUUUACUUUUUGCCGAUGGAUUCGUUGGAACUCUGUUUCGGGUGUAUCUGAAUAGGAGGAAAACGAUAAGCUGAUAAAAAAUACAUAAAAGAACAGAAAAUACAUUCGGAAUGCUGUAACCUUUGAGACAGGUACACACCUACAUUAAAUUGUGCCAUGUCGAGGAAUUAUUUCUACCAGUUUUUGAAAAGAGUUGAUCCGUUUUCAGCAUUUGCCGGACUUAAUGUAACACCUCUAUUCCUCAAUUCCGGUGAGGAAUACGUCUCUACCCUUAACUCAAUAUAAAUAUACAAAUUGAUAAGUGAGUGCUUUUGUCUCCUGAAAACAGAAUUGCGAAACUUAAAAUUGGAGAAAAAUGAUGAGUAAAUGAAAAAAUGGAACCAAUUGAUGGGAUAUGUCGCAUGCCAUUCUGACACAAAAUAUGGCGUCUAUCGAAUCACCUUAACUAAAUAAAAUAACCAAAUUUUCAACUAUCAAACUAUCAACUAUCAACUAUCAAAUUUCAAACUAUCAA